Prosopis cineraria is the source of this 6098-nucleotide long non-coding RNA. RefSeq lists it as uncharacterized. Lineage: Eukaryota; Viridiplantae; Streptophyta; Magnoliopsida; Fabales; Fabaceae. The record is from RefSeq and is a predicted model, not a curated record. The transcript is spliced from 6 exons.
AAGAUUUAUGGAAAAUAUUGGACGAUAGAGAACCAGAUGAAGAACUAGAGCACCUGGUUGGAUUUGGUGAGAAUUUGGCCAGCGUUGAACCAUUUAUGAGAGUUGACUCACAAGAAGUUCAGCUUCUUGGAAUUUGGGGCAUGGGAGGGGCAGGGAAAACAACGCUGGCUCGUGCUGUGUUUCGCAAAUUUUUUCCCCAAUUUGAUAGCUAUUGCUUUGUGGGAAAUGUGAGAGCAGAAUCAAAAAGCACUGGAUUGUGUAAUUUGCUUAAUAAAAUUCUUUCUGUACAACUGAAUAAAGAAAAUCUUGAAAUGGGAGGAGGACAUGACACGGUACCUGCAAAAAGGCGACGUGGAAUAAGAGCUCUUCUUGUGUUUGAUGAUAGAUCGAGAGAGCUAGAUAUCUGGGUCCUUGCUUGUCUCCCGUCGCGUUUCUGCUUCCUCCCCUCUCGAUCGUCGGUCACCGUCGUCUGUGUAAGUCUCUAUCACCGGUGCCUGCUGCUAUUUCGUCCGCUGUAGCUGUGAGAUUUCUCUUCCUAUCUCACCACUCCUCCACCUCUAUCAUCGUCCCAAGUCACUAGAAGAAGGGGAAACUUGAUUGUAGCUGUAAAAAGAAGGAGAUUUUUGGAAUUAGGUGGUAUAUCAGGUAAGUAAAUAACGUUCCCUGUAAGUCAAAAAUGAGGAUGAUUUUUGUCUGAAUAAAUAAAUAGAACUUUUCUCGAGGAAAUUUUAUGUUUAUACAUAUAUAUUAUGGAGCCUUGAAAUGUUUGCAUUGAAGAAUGUACCUGGUUUCAUAGGAUUUAAAUUUAUUAGCUUAUAUUUUCAUUUGGUUAUUUGUUUUCCAAAACACAUUAUUCAUGCAUGGAUUGAACAAUCUACCAAUGGGAAGAUCUAGUAGGCAUUAAUAAUUUGUGAACAAAUUGAGCUACAAAUAUAUUUUCCUUCCAUGUAUGCCAGAAAUGUUUUAUAGGACUGAAUACAGAAUGCUGGUUGCUAACGACAGUUUCAUUAGCCCUUGGCGCGCUAUGGCACACCUAGCUAGCAGGGUAUAUGGGAGAUGCUAGCCCCGUGUGUCGGCCAACACACGUGGAAUGGAGGAUAUAAUUUCAUAGAUAUAAUCCACGCCUGUUAUUCAUGAGCUUUAUGCUUGCGCCUGUUUUUUGUAGUUUCUAACUACGCCGGAUGUUACUUGCCCUUGUGGACUGUGUGUCCACACCUGUUAUUCGUUCUAUUUAAGUCCUAACAGAAAACCAAUUUUCCAAAUUGUUUACCUUUAAGAACUAGUAUCGUUGUAAAAAUAAAGAUUUACACAUGGUUUUUAUUGAUUUGGAAAAAACUUAUGAUCGUAUACCAAGAGAAGUGCUUUGGAAAGCGUUGGAAAAAAAGGGAGUACGGAUUGCUUAUAUUAAAGCCAUACAAGAUAUGUAUGAAGGGGUAAAAACUAGUAUAAGAACGCCUAGUGGUCAAACAAAGGAUUUUCCUAUAAAGAUUGGACUUCAUCAAGGAUCAUCUCUGAGUCCUUAUCUGUUCAACUUGAUCCUACAUGUUUUGAUGGAACAUAUUCAAGGAGAAAUUUUCAAAUGUAUGUUCUUUGAGGAUGAUAUAGUUCUUAUAGCAGAGACAAGAGAAGAGGUUAAUUGCAAACUUGAGUUAUGGAGGAGGACAUUAAAGUCGAAAGGUUUCCGUCUGAGUAGGAGUAAGACGGAAUAUUUAUAUUAUAAAUUUGGUAAGAGACUAUUUGACAAUAAUUUGGAAGUAAAAUUGGGAGAUCAAAUUAUACCUCAAGUGGAAAAGUUUAGAUAUUUGGGAGCCAUUAUUCAAAAUGAUGGUGAAAUCAGUGGAGAUAUUUCACAUAGGAUUCAAGCUGGGUGGUUUAAUUGGAGAAAAGCUAAAGGAGUUAUUUGUGACCGUAAGGUGCCUAAUAAACUUAAAGGAAAGUUUUAUCGCACUGCUAUCAGACCGGCAAUGUUAUAUAGUAGUGAAUGUUGGGCUCUAACAGGACAAUAAGAGUAUAAAGUUGGAGUAGCAGAGAUGAGAAUGUUACGAUGGAUGUGUGGACAUACACGUAAAGAUAAAAUUCGAAAUGAGCACAUACGCGAAAAAGUGAGGGUAGCACCUAUUGAGGAAAAAAUGGUAGAAAAUCGGUUGAGAUGGUUUGAGCAUGUACAAAGAAGACCAAGGGAGGCACCAGUGAGAAGAGUGGAACAUAUAACUUUGAGUCUGAUUAAGAGGGGUAGAGGAAAGCCUAAGAGAACACUCUUAGAAGUUGUUAAACACGAUCUCUUAAUUAAUAAUAUUCCUAAAAGCUUGAUAAAUGAUAGAGCACAAUAGCGUCUUGCAAUCCAUGUAGUCGACCCCACCUAGUGGGAUAAAGGCUUGUUGUUGUUGUUGUUGUUUACCUUUAAGAACUGUAUCGCUAUGAUUUGUUUUAUAUAAAAGAUAAAAUUUUAAUUUAUUGAUCAUGAUUAUCUUUCCUCCUUUCUCUUUUAUUACUUAAUUAUCAUUACUUAUUUACUUGUUUAUUAUCUGGAAACGUUAUUCACUGAAAAAAUUUUGGUAUUCAGAUAGUGGGAGUGGACCUGUUCUUUAGUAGAUCUUGUGGGACUUCUUGAGACGAGGGAUAUUUUGUUGCUUCAAUUACAUAGUGGACGAGUGUAAAUAUCUAAAUAUUCUAUCUUUUUGUUCUAGAAUCGCUCCACGAAUCAUAUAGGUAGGAUCUUCAGUUAAAUUAUUUUGGGUUGUACAUAUAGUAUCGGAGUAGAACUCCGAAUGUUGCUUGGAUGUGUUUUUGGCAAGUUGUAGAAAUUUCAGGAAGUUCCACUUACAGUAGAGACUCUGUCGAAAUUUCUACAGCUAGUCCAAAUAUUUUAUAUUUAUUAAUAAUUAUUUAAGACAAAUGAGAAUUGUACGAAAAAUUAUAAUUAAUUUGAUAGAUGUAUUAAGGAAUUAGGCUUAUGGAAUAUGAGUUUUCUUAUAUUCCAUCUAAUCACACUUCAAAAGUUUGGGGUGUGACAAUGUAGACACCUCCAACCAAUUACAAUAUCAAAACUUCAUUAUAUGGGACCAGGCAGCAAAGUCAUUGUAACAAGUGGAGAUAGACAUGUUCUUAUAAGUGGAGGAGUUCAUGAAUUGCAUGAGGUCAAAGAAUUGAACAAUGGCGAAUCACUUAAAUUUUUCUGCUUUCAUGCUUUUAAGGAAGGUCAUCCCAAAAUGGGAUAUGAAAAGUUAUCAGCAUAGGCAGUUGAAUAUGCUAGGGGCCUUCGCUUAGCAUUGAAAGAUUUGGGUUCAUAUUUAAAUUCUAAAGAUAUAAAUAUAUGGGGAGAUGUUCUGAAAAAAAUCCAAAAGUACCCCUGUAAAGAAAUUCAAACUGUAUUGAGAGUGAGUUAUGAUGACCUAGAUGAUGAUGAUAAGAACAUAUUUUUAGACAUUGCAUUCUUUUUUGGAGGACAGAAAAGAGAUGAUAUUACAAGGGUGUUAGAUGCUUGUGGUUCCUACACGGAUUGUGGGAUAGAUAACCUUGUAAAUAAAUCUCUCAUAACAAUUUCAAGAGAUAACAAAAUAGAAAUUCAUGAUUUGCUACAAGAAAUGGCUGAAGAAAUAGUUCGUGAAGAGUCUAGAAAACAUCCUAGAAAUCGAAGCUGAUUAAAUGAUGCUGGGGAAAUUCAUGAUGUACUAGAAAAUAGCAUGGGAACUUAUAGAGUUGAAGGCAUUAAAUGGGCUGGAGGCAAAAUUAAAAACCCAUUGUCCUUGGAUGCAGAUGCUUUGAAAAGGAUGGCAAAUCUAAGAUUACUGCAUAUCAAUUGUGAAAUUUACCUUCCUAUGGAUUUGAAGCUACCUUCUAAGAAACUAAGGAUCUUAUGAAUUUGAGGAUCUUAAAUGUCAGAUCCACUGAGUUGGAGGAGUUACCUGAUUUAUCGAUGGCAUCUAAUCUCGAAAUAGUGAGCCUAAAUGGUUGUCGUAAUUUGCGUAGUGUUCAUUCAUCUAUAUUAUCUCUCCCGAAACUUGUUUCUUUGGACCUAAGUUGGUGCUGCCGACUAAGGAGUCUUCAAAGUGAGAAUCACCGCUCACAAUCUCUCAAGCAUCUCGAGCUGCUAGGCUGCAAUGGUCUCAAGGAACUUUGGUUGUCAUCAGCAGAAAUGAGAGUUUUAAAUUUAAGAACUACGAGUAUCAAAAUGUUGAUAUUGCCCAAUGGAGGGUUCAAUAAACUUGAAGAGCUGUAUCUUGGUAGUACCUUGCUCAGGAGCUUUCAAAUAAAUGAGUGUUGCUUGACAUCACUUAAAAUACUUUCUUUUCAUGGUAUGAAAGAGGAAAUAAUGAAAGGAAACUAUGCAUGCUGUUUGAUGGCUUAUGUUCUUUAGAAGAAUUGGAUUUGAUGUCUCUGCAGGUUUCUGAGAUCCCAGACAAUAUCAGUGCCAUGUCAAUGUUGAAGUCUCUAUCACUAAAAGGAAGCAGUGUGGAGAGUUUGCCUACUAGCAUCAAGCAUCUUUCGAAGCUGAAAAAAAAAUUGCUUUGAGAAAUUGCAGGAGGGUCAGGUCCUUACCAGCACUUCCGUCUUUCAUUACUGAGUUGGAUGUCAGCAAGUGCAUAUAUUUAGAGACUAUCGAGUUCAGCCCAACAAGUUGGAUGUUAGAACCCUGUUAUGAAGCGAGAUUAUUGUUUUCUUUUGAAAAUUGUUGUGUCCUGGGAUUGGAUAAUCGUGAUAUCACAGCAUUUGUUCAUUUCUCACUAAUGCGAGCAAUACAUAACAAUUUCUGUUGUGCUAAAGUUUGUUACCCAGGAAGGACAAUUCCAGCGUGGUUCAGAUACACUCAGAUGACAGAAUCUUCAAUUAAAAUUGAACUUGUUCCUACUUCUCCAAACCAUUUAUUGGGUUUUCUAUGUUGCUGCAUUCUUCCUCGGUAUACCUUGGACAUUGAGGACAGCUUCUCAUUGUACAGGAUGUUCGACUAUAAACAUCAAGAGAUCAAAGAUAGGACAAAAUUAGUGUCUGAUCUAAGCUAUGAAUUGAUGCAAGAUCAUGUUUUUCUGUGGUACGAACCUUUGGUAAGCACAUCAAAGGGUACUCAGAGAUGAGAAGAUGAUGAGGGCACCACUUCUAAGUUUGAGUUUAAAUUCUAUAUUGUUUUAAAAUACUACGAUUUUGAUUCUAGAGUGACGACUGAGACUGAUAGAAGUAACAUCACAGAUCGGUGUGGAAUUUGCCCCACAUAUGCCUCAGAACGUCACAACAUAGUUCAGAAAAUGGAAUUGUAGUGGAAGGAGGGUACAAAAAGGAAAAGCCUUAUAAUUGCAAUGAUUGACUAAACAAUAUUAGAACUUGAAUUGGUGCCCUGCUUAUGAGAAGAUAGAGCAGCUGGAAUUUUGCACACAGGACGAAAGAAAAGCUCUGCUUAUAAGUACUGUGUAUAUAUCUUUUUAUUAUACAUACAGUACACAGGAUAAAAGAAAAGCUCCCCUGAUAAAAUCUGUUAGUUACGGGUAUCCUUCUUUCCCUUUUUCAAGUAUGACAAAAUGUUGUCAGCAUAAUGAAUUGGUGCUUUGAUUUGAUGGGAAGAAUGAAUAAAUAUUGUCAUUCUCCUAUAAAUAAUAUUCAUUCUGUACUACUUUUGAAUAGAGUGAAUGCUUACUAUAUCUAAUCCUAUUGAUACACCUUUUAUAUUUCUGUUACUCAAAAUUAGAGACAGAUUCCUUUUCAAUUCUGUUGAUAUGAGCAGGUUUCUAUUCAGAGGACUUCAAUGUUAUUUCUCCCCUAGCAAACUCCAAUCAUGUAGCUGUACAGGUCAUAAUGCUUUCAGUCUAAUUGUUUCUUUGGGGGCCUAGUACACUUGAUUCGACGUUCUCAUUUCAGUGGUUUCCCAACAAGCCAAUAUUCUCCCAGCUACAUCAGCACCUUUGAAACCCAAGAAGUAGUGCAGUGGCAAAGGAUUUCACUGAGUCAAGAUAGUCUUGCUUAAUUCUUCCCUGAAAUCACCCUUAGGGGUGUUUUCCCCAUGCGGUUUCUUCACUCAAUUUCUUGGUUUUCCACUUGAUUGUUUUUGUUCAUGGUUUCUUGGGACUUCAAGAUUUGCUGUCUGCCUCACUUUGAUUUGAAGUUUCUUA